AGAGGGGUAGAGCAGUGGUAGAUCGUCGGGCUCAUAAUCCGGAGUUCGCAGGUUCGAGUCCUGCCCCCUCUACCA
This 75-nucleotide transfer RNA is filed under the name Bacteroidales bacterium. RNAcentral describes it as "tRNA-Met". It matches the Rfam family "tRNA". From Rfam's summary of the family: Transfer RNA (tRNA) molecules are approximately 80 nucleotides in length. Their secondary structure includes four short double-helical elements and three loops (D, anti-codon, and T loops). The record is from RNAcentral. Lineage: Bacteria; Pseudomonadati; Bacteroidota; Bacteroidia; Bacteroidales.